RNAcentral lists this ribosomal RNA (116 nucleotides) under uncultured bacterium. RNAcentral describes it as "partial 16S ribosomal RNA". It matches the Rfam family "Bacterial small subunit ribosomal RNA", at positions 1369 to 1482 of the family's 1533-position model. The record is from RNAcentral.
CGUUCCCGGGCCUUGUACACACCGCCCGUCACACCACGAGAGUUUACAACACCCGAAGUCGGUGGGGUAACCCGCAAGGGAGCCAGCCGCCGAAGGUGGGGUAGAUGAUUGGGGUG